This 115-nucleotide ribosomal RNA is filed under the name Halichoeres hartzfeldii (Hartzfeld's wrasse). RNAcentral describes it as "partial 16S ribosomal RNA". The record is from RNAcentral. Lineage: Eukaryota; Metazoa; Chordata; Actinopteri; Labriformes; Labridae.
AGUCUUACAGCUAGCCCAACCCCCUAUGACAAAUAUUACACUAUAAAUAUAACCCAAAUUAUCUAAAGACAAUAAAGCAAAUCAUUUUCCCCUCCAAGUAUAGGAGAUAGAAAAG